CCGUGCCCCUGCUCGCGCUGCAGCCCGUGGAAGGGUUCCGUCCAGCGUAUCCUUCAGAUCUUGCUGUAGGCCUCUCGUGUCUGCGCGCGCGGCAGGGGCGGUGGCGGCGACGGCCGGAGGUGUACGGUCAGCAGGUUGCGGAGGAUCGUGCGGGUAGCAAAGGCAGGCCGAGUGCUCCUGCGGCUCCCAGAGGGCAACCAGGUGUAAAUCCAAACCGCUUCCAACUCAAGGCAAGUAACAGCCCACGGUGUUCUGGCAGGAAAACAUCAGCUAAGAAAGGAAACUGGGUCCUAUGGCUUGGACUUUCCAACUCUGACAGACCAGCAGGACAGAAACAACUGGUUCAGGAGCCCUUGCCAGCCUCUAGAGAAAUCCCAGAACACUCAGCCCUGACACAUUAAUACCCUGCACAUAUUGGAGACUGCUGGCCACGCAUACUCACCAAGCCACAGACUUGUCUUCCACAUGUACUAAAGGUUGAAAUCGGAGACAUGUACAGGGUAUUAAACACAUUACCAAGGGGAACAGUUAACUUCAAUAUAACUUGAAUAGAAAGUCAAAAUCAGCAACAAGUCUACAAUCCAGUGCUGAUAUCAGAUACAAGCUUCAAGGACAACUUUAUUUGUAUGUUUUUUUUUUUUUUUUUUGCUUUUUUUUUUUGAGACGGAGUCUCACCCUGUUGCCCAGGCUGGAGUGCAGUGGUGCAGUCUCGGCUCACCACAGCCUCCGCCUCCCAGGUUCAAGCGAUUCUCCUGCCUCAGCCUCCCCAGUAGCUGGGAUUAUAGGCGAAUGCCACCAUGCCUGGCUAAUUUUUGUAUUUUUAGUAGAGACGGGGUUUCAGCAUGUUGGCCAGGCCGGUUUCGAAAUCCUGACCUUGUGAUCCACCCAUCUCAGCCUCCCAGAGUGCUGGGAUUAUAGGCAUGAGCCACCACACCUGACCACAAAUUUCUUUUUGAAGGCUUAUUCCAGUUUUGUGAGGCUAGCAUGAGGUGUAUGCAUUUGCCAGGGGCAAAUUUAUACUGCUGAAUUAACCC
Molecule: small RNA, 1034 nt
Filed under: Pongo abelii (Sumatran orangutan)
Lineage: Eukaryota; Metazoa; Chordata; Mammalia; Primates; Hominidae
Description: processed transcript
Source: RNAcentral